Molecule: long non-coding RNA, 710 nt
Filed under: Equus caballus (horse)
Lineage: Eukaryota; Metazoa; Chordata; Mammalia; Perissodactyla; Equidae
Description: lncRNA (ENSECAG00000048927.1)
Source: RNAcentral
ACCACUCAUCAAGCCAUGCUGUGGGUAGGGAAAACCCAGCCCUUCCUCCUGUGUGUCUCUCCCGUGAGUCUCCUAUACUGCCACACGGAGCAUUUCACUUCUGACACGUCUGGUCACCAAAUGUGUGGGUUUUCCCCACAACAACAGGCAAGUUUCUGACGCCAGCUGGGUGUCCUACAAUUUGUCUCAAUUCUGACACUAUCUACCUGAAGACAAUGUCAGAUCCUACAGGUUGCUUCCGUCUUGGCUGUUGUGAAUAACGCUGCAGUGAACACAGAGGUGCAUGUACCUUUGUGCAUUUGUGUUUUCAUGUUCUUUGGCAUGGCUUGACAAGCUGUGCCAUGUCCACACCCAGGAUCCAAACUGGCAAACUGCAGGCCACUGAAGCGGAACAUGUGAACUAAACUGCUGGGCCACCAGGCCAGCCCCUGCAUUUCCCUGAAGGCAGUCCUCUCUGAAGUGUGAGCCCUGCCAGGAGCUUCGAGAACACCGCAGGGCAUGACUUUGCCGUUCAUUCAACAAACACCCACUGAGCACCAGCUGGACCCUGCAGACCCAGAGAUGGAGCAGCCCGGGUGGAGGCCUUGCCUGGGUCUGUCCAGCAGGAGAGCCCCGCCUGAAUGCAAACACCUGAGAUCAAUGCAGAUGCCCUGAGCAGAGCUGCUCUUCUUAUGCAACUCUGUUUCGAAGAGCGGAGUUCUUAACCUGGG